RNAcentral lists this long non-coding RNA (1794 nucleotides) under Chinchilla lanigera (long-tailed chinchilla). Its description in RNAcentral is "lncRNA (ENSCLAG00000024280.1)". The record is from RNAcentral. Lineage: Eukaryota; Metazoa; Chordata; Mammalia; Rodentia; Chinchillidae.
AUCGUCCUGUCACGGAAAAAUGCUUUGUCCCUACCAUUGUGUCCCUGAUUGAUCCAUUUUGGAGGGGCUCCAGCCACCCCAGUCCCUGGUGCAGUUUGGCGCCCUUCAGUUCAAGAGGAUUUUCUUUCCCUAAGGAGAUUCUGCACUGAGUUCUCAGAGUUGGCUGACCAGAAUCUGUUCCCAUUUCCGGCAACAUUCUCCAGCGUUCUGUCUAGUGCUCCACAAACCCGUCCCAGGAAGGCUGCUGCCGGAAGUGAGGGUGUGCACUCGGCUGCAGUGGUGCUGGUCGGCUGACUCCAACCCCAGGUCAUGGCCUAUGGAGCCCCGCACUCGGAGGCCAAGGAGACCUCCUCCCCUCUCUGCACCUUGGUCUCAGCUUGAAGCAGUGCAGCUACCAGGGGCCAUGUUCUCGGGGCGGAUGGCAGGAGUGGAGGAGGCCAGGCCAAACACAGCAAGCCUUUGGAAACCUCUCACCGGACCACUUUUACUCAUUCAGCCACAUGCCACUUAACAGACGGGCCAUGCACCGAGCCCCGUGUUGUUAGCAGUUCUGUCGGAGAAUGUCACAGUGUGUUCGCACCAACCCAGAUGGUAUGGGCCAGUCAUGUGUCAUGGCCUCUGGAUGCAGUCAAGGGAGGUGGUGAACACGAGAUGGAUGAGGCUGCCGUUGGCCUAACAUGACACAGUUUGACAGUGGACUUUUCAAAAAAAAAAAAAAAAUCAAUAUAAGGAAUCCACUAAAAUAAUGGUCACUGGUCAGCACUGGUCGUGAUGGUGCACACUCAUAAUCCCAGCACUCUGGGAGGCUGAGGCAGGAGAACCACAAGUUCGAACCCAGCGGGGGCAGUUUAGUGACUUUGCAAGACCUUAUCUCAAAAAGAAAAAGAAGAAAAGGCGGCGGCUGUAGCUCAGUGUGAAAGCCCUGGGUUCAGUACAAGAAAAAAAAAGCUGGAAGGCUGGGGGUGUAGCUUAGUGCAAGAGUGUGUGCUUAGCAUGCGUGAGGCCCUGGGUCCCUCCCCCAAAAGAUAAGCCAUGUAGCAUAAUAAAUGCAUAAACCAGUAAUGCGGUUAUUAUCAUUGUUCUAUACUACACAUAACAGUGUGUUACACUUUUUUCCUGUUUUAAUUAGUACAUAUUAAUUAUACAGAUUAAUGAGUUUCGUUAGGGUGGUUUUGUACAUGCACAUAAUAUACUCAGGCUGCUUUUACUGCCCCCCCCGUAUCCCCCCUUGCCCUUGUCUCCCCCCCAUUUAAUACUCCAGUGUGAUUGGCAGUGCCAUAAGUUUGUCUACACCAGAAUUAUCAUGAACAGAUGUGGAGUGUAUUGAGUUGUGACAUUACAACCAUGUCACUAGGCGAUGGAGCUUUUCAGCUCUCAUUCAUUCCCUCUCUCCUUAACUACUGGGGUUGAACCCAGGGCCUUCGCACUGAGCAGCAACCCCAGCCCUUCUUCCUUCCUUCCUUCCUUCCUUCCUUCCUUCCUUCCUUCCUUCCUUUCUUUCUUUCUUUAUUUUCUUUCUUGUUUUUUUGUUUUUUGAGACAGGGUCUCACUAUGCAGUUCAGGCUGGCCUUGAACUCACUUUGUAGCCCAGGCUGGCCUUGAACUCACAAUGAUCCUCUUGUCUCAGCCUCCCAAGUGCCAGGAUUACAGGCAUGUGCCACCACCCCCGGCUUUCUCUUUUUCUUCCUCCCUUUCUGUCUUCCUUUCCUUUCCUUUCCUUUCCUUUCCUUUCCUUUCCUUUCCUUUCCUUUUUCCUUUCCUUUCCUUUCCUUUCCUUUCCUUUCCUUUCCUUUC